UACAGUGGGGGCAAGCGUUGUUCGGAAUUACUGGGCGUAAAGGGUCUGUAGGUGGCCAACUAAGUCAGACGUGAAAUCCCUCAGCUUAACUGGGGAACUGCGUCUGAUACUGGAUGGCUUGAGUGUGGGAGAGGAAUGCGGAAUUCCAGGUGUAGCGGUGAAAUGCGUAGAUAUCGGAAGGAACACCAGUGGCGAAAGCGGCUUCCUGGUCCAGCACCGACGUUCAGGCACGAAAGCGUGGGGAGCAAACAGG
RNAcentral lists this ribosomal RNA (253 nucleotides) under uncultured bacterium. Its description in RNAcentral is "partial 16S ribosomal RNA". It matches the Rfam family "Bacterial small subunit ribosomal RNA", at positions 524 to 776 of the family's 1533-position model. The record is from RNAcentral.